RNAcentral lists this ribosomal RNA (699 nucleotides) under uncultured bacterium. RNAcentral's name for it is "bacterial SSU rRNA". It matches the Rfam family "Bacterial small subunit ribosomal RNA", at positions 8 to 714 of the family's 1533-position model. The record is from RNAcentral.
AGAGUUUGAUCCUGGCUCAGGACGAACGUUGGCGGUGCGCUUAAUGCAUGCAAGUCGAGGGAGAACCUUUCGAUCCGUAAGGACCGAAUGGGGAAACCGGCGAACGGGUGCGUAACACGUGAGGAACCUGCCCCGAAGACCGGGAUAGCCCGAGGAAACUCGGAUUAAUACCGGAUACCCUCCUCGGACCACAUGGUCUGUUGAGGAAAUGGUCCGCCGCUUCGGGAUGGCCUCGCGGCCUAUCAGCUUGUUGGUGAGGUAACGGCUCACCAAGGCAAAGACGGGUAGCUGGUCUGAGAGGACGAUCAGCCACACUGGGACUGAGACACGGCCCAGACUCCUACGGGAGGCAGCAGCAGGGAAUAUUGCACAAUGGGCGAAAGCCUGAUGCAGCGACACCGCGUGCGGGAUGAAGGCCCUCGGGUUGUAAACCGCUUUCAGGAGGGACGAAAAUGACGGUACCUCCAGAAGAAGGCCCGGCCAACUACGUGCCAGCAGCCGCGGUAAUACGUAGGGGCCAAACGUUGUCCGGAUUUAUUGGGCGUAAAGGGCUCGUAGGCGGUUCAACAAGUCGAUCGUGAAAGCCCGGGGCUCAACCCCGGGACGCCGGUCGAAACUGUUGUGACUAGGGUCCGGUAGAGGUGAGUGGAAUUCUCGGUGUAGCGGUGGAAUGCGCAGAUAUCGAGAGGAACACCAGUU